RNAcentral lists this microRNA precursor (191 nucleotides) under Oryza nivara. RNAcentral describes it as "MIR812 microRNA precursor family". It matches the Rfam family "MIR812 microRNA precursor family". Lineage: Eukaryota; Viridiplantae; Streptophyta; Magnoliopsida; Poales; Poaceae. The record is from Rfam by way of RNAcentral.
AAUAAAUGCAUUUUUUCAUUAUAUCGUUCGUCUUUUUUAAAAAAUUUUAUGAUUAGUAAUUUUAUUGCUAUUAGAUGAUAAAAUAUGAAUAGUACUUUACGUGUGACUAAAUAUUUUCAAUUUUUUCAUAAAUUUUUCAAAUAAAACGGACGGUCAAACAUUAGGUACGAAUAUCCAUAGCUGCACUUAUU